UAAUACCCCAUAGAUUAGGGAUACUGGAAUGCCCCCUAGUUCAAAGGUCCGCCGCCACAGGAUGGGUCUGCGGCCGAUUAGGUUGUUGUUGGGGUAACGGCCCAACAAGCCAUUGAUCGGUACGGGUUGUGGGAGCAAGAGCCCGGAGAUGGAUUCUGAGACACGAAUCCAGGCCCUACGGGGCGCAGCAGGCGCGAAAACUUUACAAUGCGAGAAAUCGUGAUAAGGGAACCCCGAGUGCCCGUAAAUUCGGGCUGUCCGUCAGUGUAAAUAACUGGCGAAGAAAGGGCCGGGCAAGACCGGUGCCAGCCGCCGCGGUAAUACCGGCGGCUCGAGUGGUGGCCGCUAUUACUGGGCUUAAAGCGUCCGUAGCUGGGUUGUUAAGUCUCCUGGGAAAUCCACCGGCUCAACCGAUGGGCGUUCAGGAGAUACUGGCAACCUAGGGACCGGGAGAGGUGAGAGGUACUCCAGGGGUAGGAGUGAAAUCCUGUAAUCCUUGGGGGACCACCUGUGGCGAAGGCGUCUCACCAGAACGGCUCCGACAGUGAGGGACGAAAGCUGGGGGAGCAAACCGGAUUAGAUACCCGGGUAGUCCCAGCUGUAAACGAUGCGCGUUAGGUGUAUCGGUGACCACGAGUCACCGAGGUGCCGAAGAGAAAUCGUGAAACGUGCCGCCUGGGAAGUACGGUCGCAAGGCUGAAACUUAAAGGAAUUGGCGGGGGAGCACCACAACGGGUGGAGCCUGCGGUUUAAUCGGACUCAACGCCGGGAAGCUCACCGGAUAAGACAGCUGGAUGAUAGCCGGGCUGAAGACUCUGCUUGACUAGCUGA
This 831-nucleotide ribosomal RNA is filed under the name uncultured archaeon. Its description in RNAcentral is "bacterial SSU rRNA". It matches the Rfam family "Archaeal small subunit ribosomal RNA", at positions 147 to 983 of the family's 1478-position model. The record is from RNAcentral.